UUCUAUCUGGUGGAAAGAUUGCAUGUUCAAAAUUUUAUAUUCUGAUAGUUAUCAAGGAGAAUUCAGUGUGUAAGAUUAAACCUGAUAGUCAUGUUACAGAGUUAAUGUAAGUGCAAGUAUUAUUAUUUGAUAUGAAGCUCUAAUGACUUAUAGAUAGGAUUUCGAAAUUGUGGAUAGAAGUUUAAGAGAUAUUUUAUGCUAUGUAGAUCUAGAAAAUAUAUAUAAAUCUUUUGAAAAAAAGAUGAUAUUUCUUAAUGAAGAUUUUAGACAGAUUCUAUUUGUUAUUUCUAAAGAUCGAAGAGAAGAUUUUAUUUAAGCUUUCAUUAAUAAAUCAUAUUUAUGGAACCACCAUCAUGUUUUCAAACUAUAAAUUAAUAUGCGAUUGAUGAAUAGUGAAGCUUUUAUCACAAAUACCCAAGAUAUUUUUUUUAAUUUAGUAAUUAAAUACUAAAAAUUAGCAGUGGCGAUAUCGAUGAGGGGGACAGGGACUACUUGAUUGAAUUUUCAUCAGAUUUGAUCAUCAUAUUGCAAAAUAAUACAUAUAAUGAUAUAAUCUAAAGUAUUUUUCUGAUUUAAGUUUAAAAUUACUUGAUAGAGAGUAUUUAAAUGAGAGAGAGCUAUUCUUUCACCUAUAAAUAAAAUUAUUGAUGUAAUAAAUAAGAGAAUAUUUUUUUCAAUAUUUGUAAAAAAAAGUUGUUUACUUAAGUAUAGAUUCAAUUUAUAGAACAUCAUUUAACUGUGCAAAAGAAGAUUUUUUAUAUCUUCUCUGAAAUUUUCUAGAUGUUCAAAUCAUAAGUUAAAGUUAAAGGUAGGAAUACUAAUGAUAUUAUUAAGAAAUUUAAAUUAAAGUAAUGAACUUUGUAAUGAUACUAGAUUGGUAAUUAUAAAAUUAUUUUUUAAAAUUAAAAAAUUAAAAUUUUCAGCAGAAGUAACAUUGGUGAUCGUAUGUUUAUUUCAAGAGUAGUCUUAUCUCCAAUCAAAUCUUAGUGGCCUUUCACAUUAAAAUGAAGGCAGUUAUCUCUUUCUGUGUGGUUUACUAUGACUAUUAAUAAAAGUUAAGAUCAAUCACUAAAAUAAGUUGGAAUAUAUUUAUCAAAGCCCAUAUUUAGUCACAAACAGCUAUAUGUUAUAUUAUUUAGAGUGACCAGCAAUAAUGGUUUAAAAGUGUUGAAAAAUAAUGAUGAGCAUUCUAAUAAUUAUCGUUUGAUAAAGAAUAUUAUUUAUAAAGAAUUUUUUUUCAAAUCUACUUACUAUCCUUAAUAUAUAAGGUUUGUAAUUACAUACCAAUAUUUCUAUCUCAAUUUCAUAUUUGUUCUAAUUCUUUUUUUACAUAUUAAUGCACAUUUAUUAUAGAUUCUUAAUCAACUCAAAGAUGUAGUGUAAUUUAUUAAAUGAGUUAACAAAUGAGAGAUAACUGAAAGAUAAAUAUUACAUUGACAAAAUAUGGGAUUCAGUUAACAUAAACAAAUAAUAAUGAGCUUAUAAGUUUAGAUAUAUUCAUUAUUGAUGAAGAGAUAUGUUUUCUCUUUCUAUUUUUAAAUAUUUUUUACUAUUAUAUUUGCUAAAAUUUUCUUAUAAUAAUUAUUAGUACUAUAUUUUUUGAUUUAUUGAUUUAUUAGGAUGAUCAUAUGUAUGUUAUAAUUAGAAAAAGUAUUGUGCAAAAGUUUCAUAUGCUUAUUGAAGAAGGGCAUAUAUAUCUGAUUGCUAAUUUGAAAGUUAUAUACACUGAUGAAAUGUAUCGCCUAAUAAAGAAUGAUAAGAAGAUCUUUUUCUUACUGACCACCAAAUUGAAGAAAAUAUUAAAAUAUAAGAUAUGUCCAUCUGUGCGCAAAUUCUACUUCAUAAAUUAUGAUAAAAUUGUGAAUCAAGUCGAUAAUUAUAUCUAUCUUAGUGGUAAAAAUAAAAACUACUCCUUUAUUUUUCUUAACCUUCUGCUAAUUUUAUUCAACUAAUAAAUAAUUUUUAUGUCUAUAUUUUAUAGAUGUUAUUAGAAAAUUAAUUAUUAUUAGAUCUUUAGACAAUUUUCAUGCUCAAAACUCAAAUGUUAAAAGAAAAAAUUUAGAGCUGUUGAUGCUUGAGUAUGUAUUUUACUUUGUAUAUAGUGUAUGAUUUAUUUAAAUAUAUUAUUUAUCUUUCAAAUUUAAUUUGAUGUUAUUGUAGUGGACUAAAGAUAAAGAUCAUCCUCUAGAGAAAUGCUAUUGAUUAUAUAAAUGAAGUUGAAAUUUUGUAAAGUUUCACUCAUCCAAUUCUAAUUAUAAUAUCAACAAAUGUUAAAAUAUUUUAAGAUAUUCAAAAAAUAUUUUAAAUUUUUUUAAUAUCAAAAUUUUUAUUCUUAAUAUGAAAUUUAUAUUAUAGGUGAGCAUUAUCUUUUCUCUAUGAGUGCAACAAAAAUUUAUGUCAAAUUGGAUAUACUAUAAGUGGAAAGUUUUAAUCAUAGGUACAUUUACUUAUUCAUUAUCUUACUAUGAAAUUACAUAUGACAAACUACUAACUAAAAUUUAUAAUAUUUUUCAGUAAAGAUUUAUCAUGUAUGAAUGAUGUUUAAGAGAUUAUAUUUCAAAGUCAAUUAUAAACUUCUUCUAGCGAUCUAUUAUCUAUUAGAAGGAUGAUAAUAAAAAGAUAAAAUCUAUUGAGUAUGAUUGUCAUGGACAGGUGAUUAAAAUUGUAUAAUACUAAAAUUUCAUUCAUAUGUCAUAUAAAUUUUUUAAUUUAAAAAUUAUAUUUAAAAAUAUAUAAUUAUAAUUAAAUAUUAGAUCAUUUUAUUUAUAGGAGACUAUCGUUAAUUAUGAGGCUUUAAUUAACAAUACUGAAACAAAAUUUGGAUUGUGCUAUAUGGCUUGCCAAGUUUAUCAAAGAAAAGUGAAAUAUACUGGUGUUGGAUUCUGAUGUGAUCGAUGUAAUAUAGAGCCUAAGUAUCUAAUAUCAAAUAUAUUUUUCAUAUUAGUUAAUAAAAAAAAAUUUUAUUUCAUAUUUAAUAUUUAGAAUUUAUUGAUAAAAGAUAAAUAUAUACUUUAGAUCAUGAAACAAAAAAAAAUUAUAUAUUUUAUAAUUUAAUAUCACAUCUCUUACUCAUGUCUAUUACAAUUUUUCAUUUAUUAGUUAUAAUAAAUUUUGGUUUGGUUCUAUUCUUUUCUUUUCUUCAUAUAUCAAUUACAAUUUCAUAUUGAGGAUUAUACUAGAUUUAUAUCAUUUAUUAUUUUCGAUAAAAUUACUCAAUGGUUAAUAGGCAAAUUAGCUAAAGAAUUAUAUAUGAAUAAAGUAUAUGCAAUAUAUAUUUUAUAUUUUAUUCAUCCAAUCGAUUAGUUGAUAAUAUGAAGUUAUGUAUUUUUCUUUGUGCAGAAAGAUGAUGCUUCUAUUAUUCUCUUAAAAAUAAAAAAAAUUAUAGAAAAAAGUUAUAUCAUCUAAAUUAAAGUUGAUGAAUAUAAUCUCAAAGAAGAAGGACAAAACUAUAUUGUUCUUAAAAUAAUUUUCAAUGAUGCAUACAAUGAAUUAGAAAACAAAAAAAAUCCAUUGUGAGUGAUAUGUUUCUAUUCUUUUAUAUAUGGAUGAUUAUAUUUAUAUGUUUUAUUCUAAUAAUUUAUAAUUAAUUUUUUUUUUUGCAGACUGAAGUAAAUGAAGAUGAAAGUCCUGUUAUUGAUAGGACUAUGAAGAAAAGAGAUGAUUUUUGUAUUAGUAUGGGAAGCAAAUAAGUGGUCAUGCUCUACUUAAUGAUGAGUAUUCUGAAACAACUAAUGUUGAAAAUAUUAUUUCAAGAAAUAAUUUUUGUGUUAGCAAAAAAUAAAAGUUAUUAUGUUACUUCUUACUAUAUAUCAUGCUAUUUAAACAAUCUAACUUUAUAUCUUCAUUUAGAAUACUUGAUGCCACCUAUGAUGUCUUUUAUAUUAUGUUGGCUUUUUAAUUUAUAAAUUCUUUAACAUUAGAUGCAUAUGAAAUUAAACAAUUGACUUUCAUCAGGAUUUAUAUGUAGUUUGAAAAAAAAUAUUUAGUCCAAAUUGAUUUAUGUGAGUGGGUGCCAAUAUGCGCGAUCCGGAUGAGAUCCUAGCUCUCUAAGAGCCUCUUGAGCUCCACUAUGGUAAUAGAAAGGAAGAAGAUAAAGCGAGCUCCGGAGGUGAAGAGCAAAGGAAAAAAAAAUGAAUGCUAAUAAGAGAAGAGGACGAUAGUUUAGGAGGAACUAGACAACAAGAGGUCGAUGGAGAAUUUCAAAUUUAGAAAAAAAAAAAAGAAUAGCUUAUGAUCUAUACAAUGCACAAUAUAUUUUUUUAUUAUUUUAAUUAUUUUUAAAAAUAUAUAUAUAUAAUAGAUAUUAAUAAAUUAAUAAAAUAAAAUAUUUUUUUAAAAAUAAAUUGCAUCUUGUGUAUGGCACCGGGUUAUAAGCUAAUAUUAGAUUACUCAUCAUUAGUGAAAGCAUUUAAUUACGUAAUAUAAUGUGUCUAUAUAAUAUAUACAGCCUGCCAACAUGUCACGUGGAUGGCAUCCUUUUAUCAUUAAAUUUUUAAGAAUAAAUUCAUAAUGCUUAGCCACCAUGCUAGCACUGUUUGCAUCCGAAACGGCUGUUCUUAAUGGAAGAAAAACGGCAUUAACUUCAAACCAAUAUUAAUAUUGCCAAUAACAAAAAAAAUCUAAAAAAGAUCUGCAAUUACCAAAUCAUUGCCAAAAAAAAAAAAACUAACAUUAAGCUCCUCUUUUUAAGAACCAUAGAGAUUUUGGGGUUACGGUAAUAAUUCCAUUGAUAAAAGAGAAAAGAAAGAAAAAGAAACUAUACACCUUAUUUAGUGGGUUUAUUAGGAAAACAUGGAAAAGAGACAGCGUCGAUUACCUGGAGGAGAUGGGGUGAAGGGUACGGGCGAAGUCAUUAAUGGCACCGUAGCUGUGAGAGCUGAAGCCUAAGCAACCAAAAUGUCUCUGGCGGUUGGGCAAGAACGUCUUCCACCGUAUCUCCUUCGCCUGCGCCCAGUUCGCCGUGAAGUGCGGCUUAUGUGGUGACGGCACCGGGCCCCUCUGCCGCCCCACCCCAUUCAUUGGCUUCGUCGCGGUCCUCUUCGAAGACCCGUCCGUCGCUAGCGGUGGGUUCUUUGAUGUUGUCUUCUCCUCCUCCUCCGAGACCGUGGUGGUUGGUGAAGGAUUGUUAGAAGAAGUGGCCACGACGGAGGAAGGUCUGGAUUUCUCUGUACGAGGGACGACUUCAAGGUCGAAAAUUUUGAUCCGGAUCUGAUCACGCAUUUGAAACUACCGUAAUUUUUUUUUUUUUUACACACAUGGCAGAUAGAGGCUUUGCCAGAUGCUUCUUUUUAAUAUAUUAUAUAUAUACAUAAUAAAAAAAUUAACAAUUAUAACUAAAAAUAAAAAUUAUAAUAUUUUUUCUCUUUUCUUUUGACUAUUGUCUAAAAAUUAAUUAGUCUUCCAUAGUCAUUCUAUAUCUAAUCCUUUAUAUACUAUUAGGUCUACUCUCACACAUGGUUUGAUCUGAUUUUUACACACAACUAGGUCUAUUUUGUACACAAGCAUUGACUAAAUAUCAGAUGGUAAGCAAAAUCAAGGAACAAUAAUCAAAAGUUUGAUAAAUACAGGCUAAUAUGAGCUAGAGAUCAAUUUAGGGGAUGGACCUCUCUUUCAAAGAAAAAUUUUUUGUGCACCACGAACUAUAUAGAAAAUCCAAUAUGAAACGUACCAUUUUAUAUAAUUGGUCCAUGUAGCCACUGCUUUAUGUCAUAUAUUUUUCAUAAAUGAAUAUUAGAUCUAAUAUUUUGCUAUAGCCACAUAACCUAGUGGUAUAGAUUAGAUAAUAGAUAGUGAAAAAUGCCACCUAAAUACUACUAUUCUAAUUCCCGAUGGUAUGGUAUCAAAAUUUAUUUUUAGAUUACAAAUUGAUUGGGCAAAAAUAUAAUUCCCAUUGAUGGGCCGGAACAAAUCAUAGCCACAUAAAAGCAUUUUCAUAAGUUAUCCAGUCAAAUUUUUCAAAACUAUUACUUAAAACAAAUCAUAUAUCCAAAUUAACUCAUUUAUGAGAAUAUAUAUAUAUAUAUUAAAUAGAUACAAAAAUCAUCAAAACUAUUUUAUCCAGCAAUAUAAACUAUUAUUUCUAAAUUUUUUUAAAAAAUGCACUAUGAAGCAUUAGAUUAUUUACCUCNNNNNNNNNNNNNNNNNNNNACAAAUGACAAUACAUGGAUAAUAUAAUCACCUUACUGAGAUUCUUCGGGACCUAUUAAUCCAAAAACCACAUACAUCUACUAAUCAAUGCUAGGCCAAUAUUUUAAAAUAAUUUUUAAAAUUUUUUUAAAUUUUUUAAAAUUCAAUCCUAGACUACUGACCACUAUAACGAAGAAAAUAGCUCACUAACCUCUUCCUGUUUCCUAUCACAGGGCUGGAGUAGGAAAUGACACAUUAAAGGCCCCCCUGGCAAACUUCCCCAUAGAGAGAGAGAGAGAGUGUGUGUGUGUGUUAGGGAGGGGAGGAGAGAGUAUAAGAGGGAUGGAAGAGAGGUUAUGCCACCCUCUCAUUGAACAACACACAGAUGAGAUAGUAAGAACCUAAGAAGAGAGAGAAAUUAAGCGAGAAAUUAAGAGAGAGAUUAUAAGGAGGGAGAGAAAAUAUAAAGAAGAGGUGAUGGCGGAGGAGGAGAAUGAGAGAGAAGAGAAAGUUGCAUGAGAGGAAAGAGAGGUGGUGGAUCAAUAUGGAUUCGAUCAUGUGUAAGAGGUUGAAACUGAGAGAGCAAGAGAGAAUGAGAGGGAGAGUGGAGAGGAAGGAUUGGAGGCAUGGUGAAACAAAAUAAAAAAGAGAGAAUGCAUUGUGUUAGGAUCUGACGUCUCGAGAUUCGAUCCACAUUGAGCCCAUAGCGAGGUCCGCGACGACGAACGAAGUCCAACGAGCCCAAAAUCACCUCAAAUGGAGUCCGAAUGAAGGAAAUACAUCCGAUUGAAGUUGGCACGAAAUCUGAAGCGAUAGAGGAUCAAUGGCGGUCGGCAGAAUGGUGGUGGCACGGUCGCACAUAGCAGUGCGCGGCCCAGGCAUGGCAGCGCACGGCCCGGACAUGGUGGAGUGCAGCCUAGCACGCAGAGUGCGGCCCAAGCUCGGGUGCACGCGGGGGCACGGCCCAGGCCCACGCGCACGUGCAAGGGGGUUCAGCAGCCUGGAUAGCCUGGUCCACCGUGGAUCAGGCAAUGCAUGGCCAGGUUUGUGGACCGAGGGGGCGUUUCCCCUCGAUUUCUCGUAGUCAUCCACUAUGGAUCGAAUGCCAUUUUUUGCUUGAUUCUCGUGGUCUAUACAUUUUUUCAUAGACCGAUGUGCGAUCGGACAGUUUGGGAUGCUGUCGGUCGUGAUCCAAGGGUUCAGGGAGUUUUUUCGGGUGCUGUAAGGAAACAGUAUCCUAAUCUAAUUGGGUUUUUAAGUCUUUAAGAGGCCUGUACACAGGAAUAGAAGAUUGGGUGGUGGCACGGUUUCGUUCGGAGGAAAACCUAGAGAACAGAGCGAUGAGGCACAGAGAGGAGCAGGAGCAGGGCUUCUGGAUAGCAAACAGCGGUCGCUUCAGGGGUUCAAGGAGAUCUUCCUAGAGAAAAAGUUUUUAUGAGGGAGAGCUUUCUGUGAGGCAGAGAUUGGGUAUACAAGAGUUGAGGGUGUAAUCUCCUCUUGUAUUCUUUCUCUAUUCUCAUAGUGAAGCUUGCAUGCCCCGUGGAGGCGAGCUCCUUUUUGGCUGAUCCACGUACUUGAUUAUUUCUGUUUUAUUUCUUCUUUUUUUCUGCUACGACGAACGGUAUCAAAAAGGUCCUGAGAGGUGGUAUCUUGGCCAGAGUCCACCAUCAAGUGGUAUCAGAGUGAGGCGGUACCAGGAUGUAGAUUGCAGCAGUGGUGAGCAAGAUUGAAGAUGGAGAAGACAGGAUCAAUCAAGAUGGAGAUCAACAAGUUUGAUGGAAAGAGCAAUUUCUCCUUGUGGCAGGCAAGGAUGAAGGACGUGCUCAUCCACCAAGGGUUGAUCGAUGCUCUCUUAUGCGAAGAGAAGCUGACCACUAUAGAGGUGCUGGAUUGAAGACGGCUACAGAUGCAGGCGGUGAGUACCAUCUGCAUGUACCUAACGGAUGAGGUGGUGAUCCAUGUGCUUAGCGAGACUUCUCCGAUGGUGCUGUGGUCGAAACUCAAGGAGUUAUACAUGGUGAAAUUUUUCACCAACACUCUCUUCCUUUGGAGGCAGUUCUACCAACUACAGAUGAUUGAGGGACAGAGCGUGCAGAAGUAUCUCAUCCACUUUCAGAAGAUCCUCACCGACCUCCUUAGCGUUGGCGAGAAAGUUGAGGAGAAGACUAGGGCGCUGGUCUUGCUAGCGUCGCUCCUCCCUUCGUAUGAAUUUUUGGUGACUGCUCUUUUAGUGGAAAAGAGCAUCAUCAAGAUGAACGAGGUCACCGCGGUGAUUCUCCAGAAUGAGGUUCUCAGGAGAAAAAAUUCAGCUUCGAGCUCAGAUGACGGCAGCUCAGCUUUGGUGAUUUCUGAAGGAGCAAGAGGCGGUAGAUGGAGCGACAGGAGAUUGCAACAAGGACAGUCUAAGUCCAGGAUGAGGGAUUUAAGCAAGAUUGGUGUUACCGGUGUGACGAGUUGGGGCAUCUAGCCAGAGAUUGCUCUUAACUCAGGGAUCGGAUUAUGGCUACUGUAGCGACGGCCAGUAGCAAUUCAGAGGAUGAUGUCCUGGAGAUAUUUGAUGAGAUAUCUACUUCUUUCCAGCAGUGAAAUUUAGAUUCUGCAUGCACUUAUCAUGUAUAUUGCAGAGAAGAGCAGUUUGACUCUCUAGAGAGCAGUGAGGGCACUGUUUAUCUGCCAGAUGGAUCGAGUAUGCGAUCAUAGGUAUCGGGACAGUCAGCUGGAGGAUACAUGAUGGUGCAGUGAGGAGAUUGAAGGAGGUCCGAUACAUACCCGAUUUCAGGCAGAAUCUUAUCUCAUUGAGCAGACUGGAUUUGAGAGGCUACAAGAUGGUAUCUGGUGGAGAAAUCUUGAAGGUGCUACGCAGUGAUAGAAUUAUUUUGAAAAAAAAGAAGAGGAUGAAAGGAUAUUACUACCUGAUGGAGAGCACAGUGUGAGGUGGAGUUUUAAGAGCCAGGAGGACCACAGAAUGAGGUAGAGCUCCAGAUGGAGGUGGAUCGGGCACGAGAUGCGAGACUCGAGAGGAUGAAAGGCGAUAUCGUAAGAUGAGAUUUCUAUUACCGCAGGAUGAUACCCCAAGUAGGUCUCAGAUCAGGAGGAGCACAGCAUAUGAUGGAGAUGGAAUCAAACAGUUUGGCUCGACUCCUAUGUCAUCCAUCCAUGAUCAGUAGGCGAUUGCCCCAAGGCAUGAGGGUGAGGAGAUCCAGAAGCUCUUAGAGUUAGGAGGAGGUCGAAUGUCGAGUCGAAGUGAAGAUUGUUAGGAUUUGAUACCUCAAGAUUUGAUCCACAUUGAGCCUACAGUGAGGUCUGCGAUNNNNNNNNNNNNNNNNNNNNAUUCCGCUGUGAUGCAUUGAUAUCGUGAUGAGAUACCUUGCAUGCUUAUGGAGAGAGUUCUUCAUGAGUAUGCGGCGGUUGCCGCGACCCUCGAUUCACAAUCUCGGGUCGGAGGCGUGACAGGUCGCUUCAGGGAUUCAAGAGAAUCUUCCUAGAGAGAGAGCUUUUAUAAGGGAGAGCUUUCUGUGAGGCAGAGAUUGGGUAUACGAGAGUUGAGGGUGUAAUCUCCUCUUGUAUUCUUUCUCUAUUCUCAUAGUGAAGCUUGCAUGCCCCGUAGAGGCGAGCCCCUUUUUAGCUGAUCCACGUACUUGAUUAUUUCUGUUUUAUUUCUUCUUUUUUGCUGCUACGACGUACGGUAUCAAAAAGGUCCUGAGAGAUGGUAUCUUGGCCAGAGUCCACCAUCAAGUAGUAUCAGAGUGAAGCGGUACCAGGAUGUAGAUUGCAGCGGUGGUGAGCAAGAUUGAAGAUGGAGAAGACAGGAUCAAUCAAGAUGGAGAUCAACAAGUUUGAUGGAAAGAGCAAUUUCUCCUUGUGGCAGGCAAGGGUGAAGACGUGCUCAUCCACCAAGGGUUGAUCGAUGCUCUCUUAUGCGAAGAGAAGCUGACCACCAUAGAGGUGCUGGAUUGAAGACGGCUACAGAUGCAGGCGGUGAGUACCAUCUGUAUGUACCUAGCAGAUGAGAUGGUGAUCCAUAUGCUUAGCGAGACUUCUCCGAUGGUGCUGUGGUCGAAACUCGAGGAGUUAUACAUGGUAAAAUUUUUCACCAACACUCUCUUUCUUUGGAGGCAGUUCUACCAACUGCAGAUGAUUGAGGGACAAAGCGUGCAGAAGUAUCUCAUCCACUUCCAGAAGAUCCUCACCGACCUCCUUAGCGUUGGCGAGAAAGUUGAGGAGAAGACCAGGGCGCUGGUCUUGCUAGCGUCGCUCCUCCUUUCGUAUGAAUUUUUGGUGACUGCUCUUUUAGUGGAGAAGAGCAUGACAAGAUGAACGAGGUCACCGCGGUGAUUCUCCAGAAUGAGGUUCUCAGGAGGAAAAAUCCAGCUUCGAGCUCAGAUGACGGCAGCUCAGCUUUGGUGGUUUCUGAAGGAGCAAGAGGCGGUAGAUGGAGCGACAGGAGAUUGCAGCAAGGACAGUCUAAGUCCAGGAUGAGGGAUUUGAGCAAGAUUUGUGUUACCUGUGUGACGAGUUGGGGCAUCUAGCCAGAGAUUGCUCUUAACUCAGGGAUCGGAUUAUGACUACUGUAGAGACGGCCAGUCGCAAUUCAGAGGAUGAUGUUCUGGAGAUAUUUGAUGAGGUAUCUACUUCUUUCCAGCAGUAAAAUUUUGAUUCUGCAUGCACUUAUCAUGUAUAUUGCAGAGAAGAGCAGUUUGACUCUUUGGAGAGCAGUGAGGGCACUGUUUAUCUGCCAGAUGGAUCGAAUGUGCGAUCAUAGGUAACAAGACAGUCAGCUGGAGGAUACAUGAUAGUGCAGUGAGGAGAUUGAAGAAGGUCCGAUAUAUACCUGAUUUCAGGCAGAAUCUUAUCUCACUGAGCAGACUGGAUUUGAGAGGCUACAAGACGGUAUCUGGUGGAGAAAUCUUGAAGGUGCUACGCAGUGAUAGAAUUAUUUUGAAAAAAAAGAAGAGGAUGAAAGGAUAUUACUACCUAACGGAGAGCACAGUGUGAAGUGGAGUUUCAAGAGCCAAGAGGAUCACAGAAUGAGGUAGAGCUCCAGAUGGAGGUGGAUCGGGCACGAGAUGCGAGACUCGAGAGGAUGAAAGGCGAUAUCGUAAGAUGAGAUUUCUAUUACCGCAGGAUGAUACCCCAAGUAGGUCUCAGAUCAGGAGGAGCACAGCAUACGAUGGAGAUGGAAUCGAAUAGCCUGGCUCGACUCCUAUGUCAUCCAUCCAUGAUCAGUAGGCGAUUGCCCCAAGGCAUGAGGGUGAGGAGAUCCAGAAGCUCUUAGAGUUAGGAGGAGGCCGAAUGUCGAGUCGAAGUGGAGAUUGUUAGGAUUUGAUAUCUCAAGAUUCGAUCCAUAUUGAGCCAAUAAUAAGGUCCGUGAUNNNNNNNNNNNNNNNNNNNNGACGAACGGAGUCCAAUGAGCCCAAGAUCAUCUCAAAUGGAGUCUGGAUGAAGGAGAUACGUCCGAUUGAAGUUGGCACAAACUUCGGAGUGAUGGAGGACCGACCGUGGCCGGCAAAGCGAUGGUGGCGCGGCCGCACACUGCAGCGCACUGCCCAAGUGCGGCAGCAUGCAGCCCGGGUGCUACGGAGCGCGGCCCAAGCCCGGGCACAGUGUGUGGGCGCGGCCUAGGCCCAGGCACGCGCGCGGGGGCACAGCCCAGGCACACGCGCAUGCGUGUGGGGUUCAGCGGCCCGAAUAGCCCGAUCCAUCGUAGACCAAGUGGUGCAUGGCUGGGCUUGUGGACCGAGGGGGUGUUUCCCCUCAGUUUUUCACGGUCCACCAUGGAUCGGACGUCAUUUUUCACUCGAUUCUCACGAUCUAUGUGUAUUCUCGUGGAUCAAUGUGCGAUCGGGUAGUCUGGGAUGCUAUCGGUCAUGAUCCAAGGGUCGAGGAAGUUUUUUCGGAUGCUGUAAGGAAACAGUAUCCUAAUCUAAUUGGGUUUUUAAGCCUUUAAGAGGCCUGUACAUAGGAACAGAGGAUUGGGUGGUAGCACAGUUUCGUUCAGAGGAAAACCCAAAGAACAAAGCGACAAGAUGCAGAGAGGAGCAGGAGCAGGGCGCUUCUGGAUAGCGGACAGCAGACAGCCAUCACUUCAGAGGUUUAGGGGGUCUUCCUAGAGAGAAAGCUUUUGUGAGGCAGAGCUUCCCGUGAGGCAGAGAUUGGAUAUACAAGGAUUGAGGGUAUGAUCUCCUCUUGUAUUCUUUCUCUUUUCUCAUAGUGAAGUUUGCAUGUCCUAUGGAGGUAAGUCUUUUUUUGGCUGAUCCACGUAUUUGAUUGUUUCUAUUUUAUUUCUUCUUUCUUCUUGCUGCGACGCACGGUAUCGAAAAAAUUCUGAGAGGUGGUGUUCUGGUCAGAGAUCCACCAUCACAUUGUCGUUGGCAUGAAAGAAAUGAGGUGGUGUUCUGUCUCAACNNNNNNNNNNNNNNNNNNNNNNNNNNNNNNNNNNNNNNNNNNNNNNNNNNNNNNNNNNNNNNNNNNNNNNNNNNNNNNNNNNNNNNNNNNNNNNNNNNNNNNNNNNNNNNNNNNNNNNNNNNNNNNNNNNNNNNNNNNNNNNNNNNNNNNNNNNNNNNNNNNNNNNNNNNNNNNNNNNNNNNNNNNNNNNNNNNNNNNNNNNNNNNNNNNNNNNNNNNNNNNNNNNNNNNNNNNNNNNNNNNNNNNNNNNNNNNNNNNNNNNNNNNNNNNNAGAGCAUACCUCUCUUUUUUAUCCACAAAAAUAAAAAUAGCACCAUCUUAACAAGUGGACCCUAAUACUAGAUGGGCCUAGGGUGGCUCAAAAAUUAUAUCAAAUUAUCAUAUUUUGUAUGAAAAGUGGAUAAAAAAUAAUAAAAUAAAUGAUAGAUUUUAUAUCUAUUUUUUUUAGAGAGAAGAUAAAAUAAGAACUAUUAAAGAGAUUGUAUUUAUUUUUUCAUGCUAGAUUACCGAGUGGAGGUAGCUAAACAUGUCAUUUCUUGAUGGAAAUAUCCUCACUUAUAUUAUAUUAAUAUAUAUUAAUUAUAUUACAUAAUUAUUAAAAAUUAUAGUAAUAUAUUAUAAAUAUAUGAAUAUAUUGAUCAAUAAUAAUAUAUUUCAUAUAGUAAUAUAUUUAUUAAUAAAUAUUAAUUAUUAGUAAAUAAUUAGUGAAUAUUUAUUAAUUAUUAAUAAAUCUAAUAGAGGAUCUAUUAAUGAUUGAUAUAUUUAGUUAUAUAACAAAACAUGCAAAAAUUUAUUUAUAAAAAUAAAUAUGUUUCCUAAUAUAUAUAUAUAUAUAUAUAAUUUAAAAAUAUUCAUUAACUCAUACAAAUAUAUUUCAAUAUUUGAAAUAACCAACAUUGAGAGCAUUUAUGUAAGUGCACUAUAAAGGGCCAACAAAUGGACUGAAAAAAGAUUAUUAGUACUUAAAUUAUUUAUUCAAAAAUAUUGUUAAAAAUUUAGCAAUAUUCCUAUGUAUAUUACCUCUAAUCAAAUAUAAUAAAUUUUUUUCUGACACAUAUUUUUAGGAUAAUUUUUCUAUCAAUCAAACAUGAAAAAAGAUUUAUUUUCCUCCCCUAUUAGUUUAAAUAAAUAAUUCUCAUAAAUUAUUAUCCAACCAAACGAAUCCUAGAGGUUUUAUGAUGUUAGCCUAAGUUCACGGUCACCAAGAUAGAACUAGAUUUUUAUUUAGCAUCGCCGUGUAGGACUGUAGGCCUGCAAAUGGGUCAGGUCGGAUCAGAUCCUGAGUGAUCCCGAUCUGAUUCGAUUUUUUGAUCGGAUCUUGAUAUUGGAUCCAUAUCCAUCCUAAAAAAAAAUCGGAUCGGAUCGGGUUGGUUCUAUGAUUGAAUUUAUUGACAUAUUGGAUCAUUUGGGUUGAAUCGGAUCCAUAUAUAACCCGACCCCAAUCUAUGAAAUACGGGUCCUGUUCAGAUCAGGUCAGGUUACGGAUUUAAUUUUUUUGAAACCUACCAUCAGUGAAUACUAAUGCUGGAUGACAACUAAGAAAUGCCUUUUUUUUUUCAUAAAAUCCUCCAACUGUAGUUUCUAAUAAUUAAUUGUAUUGGAUAGCAGAGGGAAACAAGUGGUUUUGAGAAGAGUCAAGACUUCAAAAAUCCACACAAAAGAAUAAAAAUAAAAAUAAAAAUAAUAUGAAUUUUACAUAAUUAUAUAAUUAUCCCAAUCUAAAAUAUCAUACAGAGAGAAUACUUGUACAUGGUUAAAAAUAAGACUAAAUAUAUUAUGGAUGACACAAUUUUUGUGCAACAUUAGAGCACACUCCGAAAUUUCUUAAAGUCAACAAAAUAAAGUUAGAAUUCAAGAAACCCUCUUGCUUUUGUACCUCAUGGCAUAGUAAACAUAAAUCAGAAGGUUUAGAAAAUUGAGUCUAGCAAAAAGUCAGAAGAAGUAAUCGAGAUGCCCUUCAUUCAAGUUAUUAGAAAUCCAUCCAAUCUUUCCUCAGAUUGUUACAGAUGUUACAACAGUCAGAAUAAAAGAACUGAAGGGUUUGAAAAAUUUUUAGUUUUAAAAAUUUUUAGUUUGGAAAUCGGAUGGAGAAGAUCGAAGGGUUUGAAAAAUUUUUACGCAAGUCCAAACUCCUAUUUGGGUGAGUCACUCUAACCGGGUUCGGAUCAUAUAUUUGGAUCCGGAUCGGACCAGAUCGGAUCAUGUAUCUUAAGAUCUAAAUUAACUCAAAAAUCUUCAUGGACCGGAUCGGGUCAGAUCAGGUCCAAAUUUAGAAAAUCCAAAGCCAAGUCGGAAAAGAAAACAGAUCCAAUUUUUGAAUCCGAUCCGACUCCAUGGAUCUUUUAAAUGGGUUCGGAUCGGAUCGGAUCAAAUCGGAUUGGAUCAUAAAUCAACCCNNNNNNNNNNNNNNNNNNNNGAUCUAUUUGCAUCCUUAUGCAAGAGCCACCGUGAUGUAAUUCAUGCCUUCAGCACCAAAGAAAAUUUCACACAACCAUUAAACAAGUCCACAAUUGUUCAUCGGGUUUCUAUGACUAGGUCUCAAAUCAAAUUGGUCAGGAAAUGGACACCAUAGGAAUAGGAUGCGCUUUCUUUGUGUUUGAUAGAAGUUGGUGUGCCAUCCGUCUAGAACUCGAGGAGAUCGAUAAUUCCAAGUACGUCUGCACUGGAAGUUGACCUUCUUUUAUGUAUCCCUCCUUGCUAUGGGAUCUAAUGUUCACAUCUUGUGGUAAAUUUUUUAACCCCUGGUUUUAAAACAAAAAAAAAAAAAAAGCGUCAAGUAAUAUUAUAAUGAAUUUUACUAUCCGUCCGCAUUUUAAUACACGUUAAGGUGUCGGAUUAGUUUCAAAUCACAUUUUCUUUUUUUAAGAAAAUUUCAAAUUACAUUAUCAUGCAAGUGCCCCAGUAGGCCAUGCUACUCGCUAUCCCCGGUCUUUUCAUCACCUUCCACCUCUGAAUGUCUCUCUCCUUUGGUCCCUUCUUUCUCCUUCUCCUUCUCCUUCUUCUCCUUCUUCUCCUUCUUCUUCUCCUUCUUCUCCUUAUUCUUCUCAUGACUCUCCUGAUCGCUGUCUUCAUGCUCGUCCACAUAGUCCGAGAUGACUAUAUGAACACCCGGGUCCUCCGCCUUGAAGCUCCCACCGAGAAGGAUCGAGUUGUUGACAGCCUGAUAGUUGCUGUUGGUGUAGGCACUCAUCGCUGUCUCAUCAUCGUGCAGAGCUCCAUGGGUGUCCAUCAUCUCCUCCAAGUUCGCCUUCAUCGUGGCUCCCUUGUUGUCCCCCGCUAGUGUGAUGAUCCUCACCCCGUGAUCGGCCUCCUCGUUCUCCUGACCGGGCCGGGCAGUGGACCUGCCGAGGGCUGUGAGCUGGUGAGUGAGCUUUGAGAUCAUGUCACGGAUCUCACGCUCCAUACGGCGCUGGCUCUGCUCAUCGGCGUUCGCAUUGGUAACCAUGGUAGUUUGGUUGUGGGAGAGGGAGAGAAUGGAUUGGAAGUGCUUGAGAAUGGAACGGUGCUUAUAAGAAGAAUGUAACUUGCAUGGGAGGAAAAGGGACGGAACUAAUUCCAGUUAUCAGGGUGGAGGCAAGGGAUCACGUCACGCUUUAGGUUUCUCCGACGUACAUUAUUCUCUUUCUGAGUUCGGACUUACGACACGGCGAACAAGCGAAGGAUAAGAGACUCGCUGGACUGGGUCUGGGCUCAAGGAUUGAGAUCAAAGGGAAUUCACACUUUAGUUCUUCUGACCAUCAAAAGUCCAGCCCAGGUCAGUCCAGUGAUCGCCCUUCUAACGGGUAGGUUUGGACCAGGUUUCAGAAUUUUCCCCUAGCUUUACCCCAUUCUAAUGUAAAUCAUGAAGCCCAUUUUGAAAAGUCGCAUCACUUCAUUAGUGUGUACGGAAUCCAUAUAUGCAGGGUUUUGAAAUUGGCGACCGAUCGUCGUAGUUAUAAGGAUUACAAAAAGGAAAACAAAUUCUAGCCCAAUGGAUUUUUUUCCCUUUUUUUUGGGUAAAAAAGCACAAUGGAUUUUCAGAUUGGUUGUAUCGAACGGUGAGGGCGUGUUUGGAUGAUCCAAUACGCUGUUUAUUGGAACAUACUCCAUCGUUCAUUCAUCUGCACAGCUCGCAAAGUGAUCAGUGGGUCUAUGUUCAUGAAAAAAAGGUAUAUAUUUUUUGACAAAUUAAAUUAUUAAUUUAUUUUUAAAUAAAUAUAUCCGUAGCUCUUUGAAAAUAAAAUAUCCAACAAAUUUUGCCGAUCAUAAAGUAGAUGUUGAACGGUUAAAAUCCAGCCUGCAGCACUUUUAGCCCGACUGCGUGGCAUAUCUUUCUUUCGCGCAAAGGAUGCAGCCACGAUCCGAGAGAGAGAGAGAGAGAGUUGAGAUCGUCCACAGCUCCGGCGGUGGUUCCAGCUUCGUCGGUGAGAAACCCCCACCAUCCCUCCCCUUUCUUUUCACUUGUGAACAACUUAAGCGGCUCUCUUCUUUUCCUUGAUAUUUAGAAAUUCCCCGCAGUCUCUUUAUUCGAUUUCAGCUUUCCGUGGAUCAUAAAAAUUUUUCUCCAAAUCCAUGUCAUAAUGAAAAAGAUUUGAUCUUUGUGGGGUUACCCGGCUUCUCCGCUGGGGAAUUUUGACCCACUUGGAUUGUGUUUCUUUAUUGGCUUAAGGAGAGGCAUUUUAUUAGUGGGUUGGCGGGAUUGCAGGGGCCCGGCCUCCUAUGGAUUUGUUUUUGGCGGGUUUUGUUUGCUAACUUAAGAUUUUUUUUUCCCCCCUCGUUUUUAAACAUCUCUGUUUUCCCAAUCCUUUAUUACCAUUGACAGCAUUUAACAGGGUGAGGGUUUAUCAAUAAUGUUAGCUGACUAAUUUGUGAAAAGGCACUGUUUGCUUGUUAAUGGCAGAAGUCCAGGUGGUGUUUCACUUACUUGUUCUGUUUUCUGAAACAGAACACGUCUGUUCUGUUUUCUGAAAGCUCUCUUACCAUGAGAGAUUGUUCCUACAGUAAGUAUUACCAACAAUCUGCUGAAGUAUUGAGCUAGUAUACAUCAAUACAAUCUUGCGAUGUUUACAUUUUUUGAGCAAGAUGAAAUGAAUAUGAAUAUAAUGCUGUGACAGAAUAAUCGACUACCAAAAAGUAAAGAGUUUGCUUGAAAUUUUCCAAACUUCUCUGCCGUUUGCAGGCAAAGUAUGUAAAUCAUGACUCUCUACUUAAUAUUUUGUGAUGUUUAGAAAUUUAUUGUUAGAUUUAGAGAUGAGAAAUCUUCCCUGCAAUGUGUGAUACAAAAUUAUACUCACAUAAUGGUACAGUUUGUCAUAUACAUUGAUAAACUUGAUCUAGUUAUAUUUCCAUCUGAAGAUAGAAAAGAGGGAGAGAGAAUAUUCUUAAAUUCUUAAUUUGUCAUCAUCCAAGAACUAUUUUAUCUUUUUGUUUGAUUUAGAAGUUAGAUUAUCCUUCAGCACCUGAGACCUUACUUUCCUAUGGCAUAUCAUUAUUUUAUUUUUAUAUUUUAAAUAGAACAAGUUUUGACCAAUAAAUUUGGUACCAUUUGUUGCUCUAUCAAGUAUACAUUUUCCUAUGUUCUCUAAGAUUCAGAUAUCUUAGAGAAUGGGUAUCUUUACAUACAUUGGAUGGAUUAUUAGAUUUGUAUCACUAUUUGUACUUCAUUGAUAAGAAUCUUUCUGCUUUUGCUGAAACAAUGGUGCCAUCAUUUUGUCAACAUUGAAGUUCCUUGAGAAGGUGACUUAAAAUGUCUCUAUACCGAAAAGCUAGCAGUUACUUUACAAAUAACAUAUUAUGAAUAAAGAAAAAACUUUUCUUUUUGGUGUUUUGAACAUUCUUAGAAGAAACUAUGAAUAAACUAUUCUCAGAAACAUAGAAAAACAUUAUUUCCAAAUGUAGCAUCACCUUGUCGUUGCAGUUACCUAAUUGAAGUACGACUAAACAAAAAAAUGUGUUUUUAAUAUAGAAGAAAAUAUGAUGAACCAUUUUUGGAAACACAAAGAUUAGUCCAAAAUUAGCUCUUCAACACCUAUAGCUGUUGACAUUUCAAUAUUUUAUGUCAAUCAAAUCACAUCUGAAUAAUUGAUUAGACAUCUUUUUAUACAAAGCAAUAUAUUUAAAUGUUACAUUGUUACUUUUCUUAACACUUGGACCUAGGAAUCUGAUAGACCAUUUGUGGGCAAGUUAUAUAUAUUAUGUUCGCCGAUGUGUAAGAUAUGUAUACCAUUGAUCUAGCAAUGGAUCAGUUAAAAAGUUAGGGGUUGAGAAGGGAAAGGAUUUAGGGAUCCAUAGUUUUCAUAUAGUUAUUAUGGAUGUAUUGGAAUAGGAAGGAAAAUAAAAUGGAAGACUGCAAGUUGCUGAUAUUAAGAUUUUUGUAAUUUUUUGACUAAUAGCAUUAAAAGUAUAGGUGUGAAGGAGUGACAAUUAAUUUCUUGCAGUGAGAUAUAUGGAGAAGUAGUUUAGGAUUGAAAUAUUUUGGAUGUGAGGUCAUAAAUUAAAUUUGCUUCCAAAAGCUAUAUUUUGAAUGGUAUCUAUUAAAAGUGGAAAGUGGAAGGAAUAGGAGAACUGAAACUACUUAACAGUAUAGCGUUCCUAAAUAUAUUGGACUAUGUAACACUAAGUUUGAUAUUAAGUUUUUUUGGACUUUUUGAAAGUUAGUACAAAAACUAGUUUGAUAUUAAAAAUUUUGACAGAACAAAUUAAAUCAAUGCUACAGUUUUUGAUUUUGCUUAGGUCAGAACUUUCUGGACAUUUGACCUUAGCUCAAUUCAUGGUGCACUUGGUGCAACAUCAGCUUUCUUUCAUUUGGAAAGAACUCAGCCUUAGGAUUGCUUAAGUAGGAUUUUUGACCAAUGACAUUUCCUUGACCAUCUACUCAAAGAAGAAGUUGUUGUAAUCUGAUCAACAAUUGAUAUAAGAUGCCACAAAUAGAAAUGAGAUCUCCUAUGAGAUGCCAUCCAGAGUAAGCUGAAGAUAAAGGCCAGCAUAUUAAAAUCUUCGUAUUUUUUUUUGUAUAAAAUGGAAUCCAAUGAAAUGAACCUGGUGCUUCUAUUAGAAUCUUCAUAUUGAAAUGAUAGAAAGAAUCUAAAUUAUGGAAUUAAAGAUAUUUAAUCCCUAGCUACUAUAUUUCUUUUUUGUUGGAUGAGAGAUUUAAUUCUUGUUUUGAAGGAGCACUAGGAUUUUGUGGAUAAUAUGGAAGUGGAUCUAGAGCCAGAUUAUGUACUUCAAAAUUCAGAUAGGUGCAACCUUGGAAAAGAGGGAGGUUGAAAAAUGAAAAUAAAGAGCGUUGUCUUCAUUGAAAAGUAGCAAGCCCUGCUUAAAAAUCGUUACUUUCUUUGAACAAUAUAACUAAUUUGUGUUUUUUAUGUGAUCCGCAAUUUUUAAACGCCUGGUCAUUGGGAAGAAAUUUCAGUUAUCUCUUGUUUGAUUGAAGAAUCAGAAAGAAGUUGUGGAGAAAUUGGCGAGGAUAUGAUUGAGAUGUUUUGAUUUGCUUGACUUUGUCUCUUCGGUGUCAAUAUUGCUACCUAAAAUGGAGGAAAGAAUUAAGGCCUCUUUAAGAAUCUUUUGGCCCUUUAUGUCUUUCCUAUUAUUUUAUCAUGAGUUUUUUUUUUAUUCUCAGAUAUAUUUUCUAAUGUUAAUUCUCAAACAAACAAAAAGAUGAUUCACAUUGGAAAUUUUAUUUCUUUAUUUUAAUGUAAAAAAGGAUAUUUUGCCCCCAUGCAGGUUCAAACUACAGACCUUCAGUUUACAAGACUGACGCUCUACCACUGAGCUAUAGGGGCAUUAGUUUUAAUUAUGUACCUAUCAUCCAACAAUUACAUCAAAGCCUAAAAGGAAAAUAGCACAAAUUAUUGGUUUUAGUUUAUUCUAGUAUUCCAUUGGUUUUUUAAAGUCCUUGUAUAUCAAUUCAAAUGGAUUUGUAGUAGUAUCUUGAAGAUAGGUUUACUAUUAUAUAUUUGUUCAUGUUUGUUCCUAAGAGUUUUGGUGGGCUUAAUUUUAGAUCCUGGAUCUUGCUUCAGUAGCUAAUGUUAAGAUUCAAUUACAUGGUAGAUUACCUGUGGUUAUAGAAGAUGACCACUUAUGUAUCAUCUGUACACUGUGCUGCGAAAAUUAUUAGGAUGUAUGUGUUUCAUUUCAACUUGUAUUGACUCUCUGUGAAGCAUCUUGUUGUUAGCUUUGGGCACUGCUGAGAAAUCAGCCUUGCCUGGCAAGAACCUUGUAGCCAAGGGGCUUGUCUUUUUAAUGAUCAAUAUUUAAUAUUAGAACUGGAGUAAUGUUGACAUGCUGGGUAGUUUCACAUGUCUUGGUGUAAUAUGCCCAAGUUCAGUAUAAUCUAAUCGGACAUUCAGAGAUCAGCAAUGAAAAUUUUUAACAUGUGCUUUUUCAUGGUAUUGAUCUUUUCUUUUAUGAGAUUAUUUUGUUAUCAGUAACAAAAUUCGAGUAACUAGAGUUUCUUGCAGGUGGAAGCAGAAACUCCAAUUAAAUUCAAGUACAUUGUGAUGCCUUCAGCUGCUAGUGAAUGUACAAGUUUCAGCAAUUAGGUGGUUCUUCCCUCUUCCCAAGCUGAAAUUACAUGAAAACAAGCAACUCUGCAUUAAAUGAACACAUAAAUAAAUAGCAAUGUGAUGCUGAAUUCUGUGAGAAAAUCACAGUGUGCGCGAGAUGUGCUCAAAGAAAUCCACAGAACAAUGGACCAAAAUGUGGUAUCUUCCAAACACCAAACAAAUAUUUUCCUGUCUCAAAGAUAUUUGGGUAUGGCAAGACCACCAUUGUAUAAUCUUUCAGCAAUCAUAAUGUAUUCCUGCAAUGGGAGUUCAACUUGGAACUUUCAUAAGAAAUGACCAGCUUUAAGUUUUAAUUGUGUAUGCCAAAGGUGCACAAAUGAGUGUGGCAUGAGAUUGUGUGCGGGUCCAACCAACAGUAGAAGAGUCUUAAUCGACCAAAGAAGCAUUCCAUUGGGUAAUUUUCCAAAAAAAGGGUAGUGCAUUCCUUUUGAAAAGAUGUUUUACUUAUAUGAAUUGCUGUGAGUCAAGAAUUCCCAUUAUGGUUAAAUACUAUGUUCCAAUUGCAUGACUCCCCAAACUCCCCAUUUUUUUGGUCAAAUGUAGAUUGAAAUAUAAAUUAUGCCGGAUAACAUGUCAGAGCAUCCUACCAAGACCUUAAUGUUAUCAAUCUCUGGCUCUCUGCAUAUUUGUAGAAGAAUUAGAGGACUCAUAUUGCUGGCCUGAAGUGGAUGCUGUCAAGCUUGUUGCUUGUGGCUAUGCUUAAAUUUAUAAGGCUUAAAUUGGAUAGAAGCAAGCACAUCAUUGUCAAUGUAUAUUAAGGCAAAAGGAUUUUAAAUUUUUUUCUAUUUUUGUUAUUUUUAUCAUAAUUUCAUCAAAAGAGAUAAUUUAGUAAAAUAUUUUCUUUAUCAUGUUGAAUAUUUAACAUAUAUUUCAUAAAUUUACACGACAUUUUUUAUUUUCCUUUUAGUUUAUUCUGUUAAAUUAUGAUACUACAAUUCUCUAUCUUCUUGAAAUGGUACAUCUUUAUAUCUAACUAAAAUCAGGUGUGUGUCAAUGCAUAUUAAACUGUGGUAAGAUUCAGUUUCAUUUGCAGACUAUGUUUUGACCAGCACCAAAUCAAACAGCAAGUUGAUAUCAUUUGUUUGCAUUUGGAUGGGUGGAACUUGUAAUUUUCCUGAUUAUUUUAUAAAAUGCAGGAGGCUGCUCCCCAUCUUAGCUUGCACGUGGAAAUUUUUGUUUCAGAGUGUAGAGAAUAUGAAGGGGUUCAUAGGGAAAUUUUUGCAUGGAAACCUUGUUAGUGUUGGAAACCUGAUUUCAGUUGGUGCCUUCCAGUUAACAUUGCAUCUCCUGUUCACGUUAGCUGGAGAUGAAAUAUGGGCUGCUGCUGAUCCCUAAAACUAUGGCUACCCUGCAUGAUAAACAUAGUUGCAAUGAAGGCUUUCUUGCAGCAUGCGCUCACACAGUCUACUGAUGAACUAUGACAAGAUAAUAGCUGUUUGAGAAACUUUAAUUUUCAGAAAAUGGAACUUUGUACAAAGUUUUGAGCUUAUGUUUUCUUCUAUUGUUUCCAAAUGUAAUAAAAAAAUCAUUUGCAGUAAUUGAUUUUUACAUAUAUUUUGCCAUUAAACAAUUGCAGCAUUGUAUAAAUCUAUUUUCCUUUGCAUUUGACACCUUGCUGCUAGCCAGGCCAAGAGAGUACACAAUUUUCUGAAGACACUGAGGGAGAUCAAAAAACAAAGCCCUCCAUAAACUACCAUAUUCAGAAACCCACCUUGUGGAGCAUUGAACAUCAGGGUAAUGGAGUCGCUUGCAAUCAAUAGCCAACAAAUGACUUCCAGGAUUGACUUGAUCAAUAAACUCAACUUUUCUUCCCCAUUUAUCUUGCACAAAAUUCUUGAAAACAAUACACUGAUGAUUGACAUUGUAGUCUUCGACCAUCCUCUAUAUGAGAUUAGACUCCCUCCAACUACCAAAGCAUUUUUCCGGCACACACAGGUUGCACACUCACCAGAGAAGGUAGAUUCUGUCAGAGCUUCAAAACCUGUGUAGUAAGGCAGGAUGAUAUUAUCCAGGUAUGAACUUGCAUGUAAAAUUCCUGAGACAGUUGAAGCUUCAAGUACAGCAUAGUGCAAAUCUUUUUCAGUUUGGUUUUUAAAUGCAAGAGCUGAAAUAUAAACAAGCUGGAGAAUUGCUGGGCCCAUGUGUGAGAGAGGGAAAAUGGUGUUGAUCCGGUGCCCCUUUGCAAAAAUCAAGAGCACCAAUGGGAGUGCUAUAGGACCUGAAGGUAAUAGAUAUCUUCUCUUCAAAUUGCUAAUGCUGAUGCUUGUGUUUCUUCUGAACCCCAUUAGGGUGAAGGCUGUGGUUGACAGGAAGGAGGAAACUGCAAAGAGGAGCACUAACGAGUCCACAAUGGAUGGGUAGUCUCCAGGGUAAGUGCUGUCGCAGAAGUAGUGGUAUGGACAAUAGAUGAAGUCUGCGGUUCCUUCAAGCUGCCAUCUAGUGCAUUUGAAGAAUGUUUUUGUGAUGUUCUCCAUAUCCCAUUCAUGAUCAAUUUGGGACUCUGGUAGCAUGGCCAACCCGUCCAUCAAAUCUAGAUGCAUCUUCUGCUCCUUUUGCUUCAUCCAUUCUCUAAAGCUGUGCUAGUAGGUAUUAUACCUGCUCUGAGCUUCUUUUUGUUGGUUGUGAUGGUGUUGUUACUUGUGGCCUUAGGGAACCAGAUGGGGAAGGUCCAACUGAUUUCUUGAAGAUGACAUAUGUGCCCCUCGUCCUUUUAUUGGAUAAAGAGUGCUUCCUCAACAAUAGUCAGGUGUUUUGGUCACAUCAAGUAUUCAGGGGCAAGGUUCAGAGACAUGGUAGGUGAGUUCUGAGAAUAUAAAGGCUGGUGACUUGGUUUUUAAGGGAUGGGACUUCUUGACUAAUGGAAGAGUUAGGAGGACAGCUACGGUUGUGACUGCUUAACAGUUUGUUUAAAUUUUUUGUAGAGUUUAGUAGGGUGAUUAUAUAUUUAAUGCUAAUCUCAGUCUCAAGCUUGUUGGGAGUCCAAUGUUCUAAUUGUUUAUUUGUACCAUGUGGGAUUCCUUUUUGAUUUUUAAAAGUGGUGCAAUUAUUUGGUAGGUACUAAUCCAGGUGCAAGUUUAAGUUGAAGAAAGGUGCGGUGUCCCUGUCUGCUACCUUGUUCUGGUUCAUGGGCAUGGUCAUAUUUCAGGAGACAGGAUAUCCACAUUUAAAAUCCAAAACAAGCCUCCUGACCAUGGAAAUCAUCAAAGGAGUUCGAUACAUUGAAUCAGCACAUAGCAAUCAGGAAGUAUAGUGGGAUGUUAUUGAUCUAAUCAUUACCGGAGGUUGUUGCCUCACUAAUUUAUGAAGUUUGCACAAAUAAUUGUAAAAUUGCUGCAUUACUGCAGGGAUGUUAAUGGUGUGGCUUCCCUGAAAAUUCCUUACUUCCUCUCUUAUCAGGUUUUGCAAUGAGUAGUGAAGACAAGAAGUUCUCAGCUAAUCAGAAGGGCAUUCGUUCCCUCACUGAAUUGCUGCCAUGACAGCUAAGGGAGCUAAGGACUCUGAGAUGUUAACUCUAAUAUAAUCCACUUGAAAAUGGUGAGGGCAAAUCAUAUAGUCUUCCAUAAAGCCAGGGUUGGCAUGCAAUUUGUAAGUGGCAGUCCACCAGAUUGAGUCUACCACUGCAGUGCAUGACACCUGACACUUCAACCUUCAGCUCCAAUUGAUAUAAUGUUAUGUGCUUGAACCAUUUUAGCAGUCUCUGCUUUCCUUCAAUGCAUCUCAUUUGGCUAUUUUGAAGGAACUGUGUGAAUUGGGCAUUGCCCUAGCAUUCACACCCCUCCACAUAACAAGAGGUUCCAUGCUCAAGCCCUGGAUGAUGUAUCUCGAGGUUUUCGAAUCAAGAUAAUUUCAAAUACAGAGUAGAUGUUCUUAUAUUGCUUAACGUAUUAUGAAAUGAUUUUGGCUAAAUUUGAUGCUUUUUGUAUUGUGCAGCUAUCUUGAUAGGAGAAAAUGCCUUUUCUCUUGGUGAGUUACAAUUCUUUUGUUUUUGAUAUAUUUUAACUGACAUAUGCCUUUUUGGCAUAUAAAGGCUUUGUUUUAUCUUCUUAGCAAUAUUAGGGCAAGAUAAAUGAAAUGGAUAAAGCUAGGUGCUUCAAAUUGCUAGGUAAAAGAAAUAAAAUUCUAGUAUAUAAUUUUAGCAUGGACAAAGAUGAAGGGCUAAUGGAGACCUUUUUUCUUUUUUUUUUUUUGGUGGGUUUGGGGGAGUGGUAAAACAAAGACGAAAGAUAUAGAAGAACUGAAACUCUGAAAGUGAUCGCAUUAGUUGAGAAGUUGGUGGCACAGAUGGUACGGACUGUUUGAUUAGUUGGUAUCAGAGGGUUAAGAAAUAGAUAAUAAGGACUUAAAAGUUAUAUAAAGUUGACAUUGUGAGAAACUGAUAUACAAAAUAAACAAUGUCAACCUCAUACUAUCAUGCAGUACUGAUCCACCGGCCACAUUUAUCCAAGAAUGGUGCAGAUACCAUGUAAGAUAAGAAGUAAACUUCUGAUGACCAUACGUUCAAGAGCAACAUCAUGGUGGUGUAACAAAAAGAGAAACCUACCCCGAUUCUAUCAGCAACAUGAACAUAUACUAAGAAAUGCAUCAGCAAUGAAGUGGUGAACAUCUGAUGCAUUGAGAACCACGUUGCAGUAAACCAGCUCCUCCAUCUCCUGCCAGUCUCUCACACCCACAUCCUGAAUCAUCUCAAGUAUUGACUCCCUGAAAUCAGUUAAAGGAUCGAUGGAGCACUCGACAGCACAGAUGCUCUCUGCGAACACGCCACGAACAUCGGCGGGCAGGCUUGCCGAGAAGCUAAGGUUCAUGGAGGAACAUCUCCUGGCAUUUCUUCUCCUUUUCCUUUCAGUCCCUUCUUUCUCCAUUUCUUCUCUUUAUUACAAGACUAUCUCUGUGUGGCCUUUUCAAAUGAAUCUAACAUCAUGGUCACAUAUAUACUUCCUUGAUGGCAAGGGUCAGAGUGGUACUUAUAUCUUCAAAAAGGGAGCCAUGUGGGUUGUCGUGGUUGGAAAGGAGGUCAGUAGAUAGAUUCAAGGGAGUUGGGGGCCUUAGUUGAGUAGGCAAACAAAAAAAAGGUAACAAGGAUAUUGUUGGUUGCUUUAAGAGUGGAGUCAUGCGUCGUCCUAAGGCUCUGAGACUCAAUGUACUAUAAGAAAGUUGGUAGUUAGUGAAAUUGAGGUCAAUUCAUUUUACUAGAUUUGGACAUGCAACUCUGCAACCAUGGCUG
Molecule: long non-coding RNA, 26295 nt
Filed under: Elaeis guineensis (African oil palm)
Lineage: Eukaryota; Viridiplantae; Streptophyta; Magnoliopsida; Arecales; Arecaceae
Description: long non-coding RNA (EGUI_LNC010658)
Source: RNAcentral